GACGUAGGGGGCCAGCGUUGUUCGAAAUUACUGGGUGUAAAGGGUUCGUAGGCGGUGCGGCAAGUUGGGAGUGAAAUCUCUGGGCUUAACCCAGAGGCUGCUUCCAAAACUGCUGUGCUUGAGUGUGGGAGAGGCGCGUGGAAUUGCAGGUGUAGCGGUGAAAUGCGUAGAUAUCUGCAGGAACACCCGUGGCGAAAGCGGCGCGCUGGACCACUACUGACGCUGAGGAACGAAAGCUAGGGGAGCAAACAGG
This 253-nucleotide ribosomal RNA is filed under the name uncultured bacterium. RNAcentral's name for it is "partial 16S ribosomal RNA". It matches the Rfam family "Bacterial small subunit ribosomal RNA", at positions 524 to 776 of the family's 1533-position model. The record is from RNAcentral.